CGCGUAGGCGGCCUUCUAAGUCGAACGUGAAAUCCCCGGGCUCAACCCGGGAACUGCGUCCGAGACUGGAAGGCUUGAAUCCGGGAGAGGGAUGUGGAAUUCCAGGUGUAGCGGUGAAAUGCGUAGAUAUCUGGAGGAACAUCGGUGGCGAAGGCGGCAUCCUGGACCGGUAUUGACGCUGAGGCGCGAAAGCCAGGGGAGCAAACG
Molecule: ribosomal RNA, 207 nt
Filed under: uncultured bacterium
Lineage: Bacteria
Description: partial 16S ribosomal RNA
Rfam family: Bacterial small subunit ribosomal RNA
Source: RNAcentral